CCGGGACCCGCCGGAGGGCAGCAGUGCUAACCGUGCGGCCUGCCGGGGAGAGGGGCGCACCGAGCCUCGCUCUUUCGCCGCGCUUGCCUUCCAGCCUCGGCCCCGCAGCCCGCGCCCAAGGCCUCUCCCACCCCCAGUUCCAGGGAAACUCCAACACCUUUCCGGGACUUGGAGUGGCAGGGGCCGAGGAAGAGGGGUUUGAGGAGAGGAGUUCGGUCAGCCGGCUGAUUCCAGUUCGCCCUUCCCAGGUCUCCCUCCAAAGUCUGGAAAUGCUCAGGGCGGAGAGGAGGACAAAAGGAGGCCUGGGACUUACAGGGGGCCCAGAGGGAAGUUGGUGCCAAGGCGAGCGGAAUCUUUGUUUUUGUCUUCGGAGCUCCCGCUUGUAAAGGGUGGGAGAACGGGACAUUAACAAGGCAGUCACAAAGGACAGAGCCCAGCCACGUCCUCUUUUGUGGUCCAGGGGAACUUGGAGAACUGGACCCCCUAGGGGGAGAAGCCUAGCGCAGGCGCAUCAGGACCCAGUUAAACUGCCCUGUGUUCCAGGCGCCUUUGCCCUGGACUCCUUCCUGCAUUAAAAACGAUAAUUUGUAACUGAGUUGGCAUAGUGACAAAUAUUACAUAUUAAGACAUUCUCUUCCAUCUAAAAAUCCAUUUUCCC
Molecule: long non-coding RNA, 658 nt
Filed under: Marmota monax (woodchuck)
Lineage: Eukaryota; Metazoa; Chordata; Mammalia; Rodentia; Sciuridae
Source: RNAcentral